AAUAAACGCUGGCGGCGUGCCUAACACAUGCAAGUCGAGCGAGAAAGCUCCUUCGGGAGUUAGUAAAGCGGCGAACGGGUGAGCAACACGUGAGAAUCUACCCUUUAGUGAAGAAUACCCUCGAGAAAUCGAGGCUAAUACUGCAUACGUCCCUUCGGGGAGAAAGAUGGCCUCUUUGCUAUCGCUAAAGGAUGAGCUUGCGUACUAUUAGCUAGUUGGCGGGGUAAAGGCCCACCAAGGCAAUGAUGGUUAACCGGCCUGAGAGGGUGUACGGUCACACUGGAACUUAGACACGGUCCAGACUCCUACGGGAGGCAGCAGUGAGGAAUCUUGCGCAAUGGGCGAAAGCCUGACGCAGCGACGCCGCGUGGAGGAUGACGGUUUUCGGAUUGUAAACUCCUGUUAAGCGGGAAGAAAGCCUUGUUUCUAAUACAAGCAAGGUAUGACGGUACCGCUAGAGAAAGCACCGGCUAACUUCGUGCCAGCAGCCGCGGUAAAGUCGUCAU
Molecule: ribosomal RNA, 506 nt
Filed under: uncultured bacterium
Lineage: Bacteria
Description: bacterial SSU rRNA
Rfam family: Bacterial small subunit ribosomal RNA
Source: RNAcentral